CUUGCCUGUCAAAAACAUUUAUUAACCUAAUUGGCACAAAGUCUUCUAAAUCAACUGAGAGCGCUCAGCUUUCGUUUCAGCUCCACUGCCAGGCAAGCCUCUGCUCGCCCUGGCUUCCUCCUCCCCUCAGAACACGCGGUUUCCCUUCCCCAGCCUGUGGCUGACACUGCCACUCGCCCCGGGGCAGGAUGAUUUGCUCCUUGUGGAUUAGUCGCCGUCAGCAAGCGGGUCUCACCUGGUCACGUCCUUUAAGAGCGCAUUCACAUGCAGGGCUGCCUGAAACCUCGCUGGAAUGUGCGCAGCGCUGCCCUGGCUUGUCCCGCCUUCUGCUGCACUUUCCUUCCAGGGCUAAUUUUCCCUCAAAAGGAUUUGCUCUGGAAAAAAAGACAACUACCAUACUGAACAUGGAGUUGGGAAGCAGAGCCUCCAACCUGGUCAUCUUCCGGUGUGUGGCCUUGGACAUUUUGACUCAAUGUCAUGAGGAUCCCUGAGCUAGAACCCCCAGCUACACUUUUCUUGGAUUCCUGAGCCACAAAACUGGGUAAGAGAAUAAACACUGUUGAUUUAAAGUGUGAAAUUUAAGAAAUUUUUAUUAAACAGU
Molecule: long non-coding RNA, 601 nt
Filed under: Chinchilla lanigera (long-tailed chinchilla)
Lineage: Eukaryota; Metazoa; Chordata; Mammalia; Rodentia; Chinchillidae
Description: lncRNA (ENSCLAG00000027407.1)
Source: RNAcentral